Molecule: small RNA, 27 nt
Filed under: Bombyx mori (domestic silkworm)
Lineage: Eukaryota; Metazoa; Arthropoda; Insecta; Lepidoptera; Bombycidae
Description: ovarian small RNA-32233
Source: RNAcentral
UGAGGUCGGCAACCAUGGUCCUCAACU